RNAcentral lists this non-coding RNA (30 nucleotides) under Homo sapiens (human). Lineage: Eukaryota; Metazoa; Chordata; Mammalia; Primates; Hominidae. The record is from RNAcentral.
UGCUUCCUGACCUUGACCUUUUGUCACUGC